RNAcentral lists this unclassified non-coding RNA (431 nucleotides) under Senecio erysimoides. RNAcentral's name for it is "partial contains external transcribed spacer and 18S ribosomal RNA". The stretch from base 370 to 431 matches the Rfam family "Eukaryotic small subunit ribosomal RNA", at positions 1 to 62 of the family's 1831-position model. Lineage: Eukaryota; Viridiplantae; Streptophyta; Magnoliopsida; Asterales; Asteraceae. The record is from RNAcentral.
CAACUUCCACCUGGCAUACCUCUUCAGUUAUGCGUCAUGACUUGUAUCGUCUUGAGCGUAUUGUGGGUUUCCUGUGUUGCAUACCUUUCUAAUGGUAUCGUGUUGGUUGAUCGAAGUCCCUUUUCAUCUUGGGUUGCUUUUUGCGAUGCAUGAUGAACCUUGAGGCGGUCUCUAUGUUCCACCACGUUGAUGCUAGCGCUUUGAUGUUGUGGCCCAUUGAGUGUUGCUUGGUUUCGUGGAUACAGAACAUGAUUUGGGCAUAGGGUUACUUGUGACUCUUGUUUUGUCCUUUAUCUGUGUUCUUUAUAACGACGGUUCAUGCGCGCCUAGGCUCGUACCUGCGCGAUGUUCUUUGUCGAAGAGGAAUGCUACCUGGUUGAUCCUGCCAGUAGUCAUAUGCUUGUCUCAAAGAUUAAGCCAUGCAUGUGUAA